AGUGAACGCUGGCGGUAGGCCUAACACAUGCAAGUCGAACGGCAGCACAGGAGAGCUUGCUCUCUAGGUGGCGAGUGGCGGACGGGUGAGGAAUACAUCGGAAUCUGCCCAGUCGUGGGGGAUAACGUAGGGAAACUUACGCUAAUACCGCAUACGACCUUCGGGUGAAAGAGGGGGAUCGCAAGACCUCUCGCGAUUGGAUGAGCCGAUGUCGGAUUAGCUAGUUAGUGGGGUAAUGGCCCACCAAGGCGACGAUCCGUAGCUGGUCUGAGAGGAUGAUCAGCCACACUGGAACUGAGACACGGUCCAGACUCCUACGGGAGGCAGCAGUGGGGAAUAUUGGACAAUGGGCGCAAGCCUGAUCCAGCCAUACCGCGUGGGUGAAGAAGGCCUUCGGGUUGUAAAGCCCUUUUGUUGGGAAAGAAAUCUUUCAGGCUAAUACCCUGGGAGGAUGACGGUACCCAAAGAAUAAGCACCGGCUAACUUCGUG
RNAcentral lists this ribosomal RNA (490 nucleotides) under uncultured bacterium. Its description in RNAcentral is "partial 16S ribosomal RNA". It matches the Rfam family "Bacterial small subunit ribosomal RNA", at positions 29 to 507 of the family's 1533-position model. The record is from RNAcentral.